CAUCCUGUCACCAGGUAGCUGCCUUCUGUACCCCCCAUUGUAACACGUGUGUAGCCCCGGACGUAAGGGCCGUGCUGAUUUGACGUCAUCCCCACCUUCCUCACAUCUUACGACGGCAGUCUCUCCAGAGUCCUCAGCAUGACCUGUUAGUAACUGAAGAUAAGGGUUGCGCUCGUUAUGGCACUUAAGCCGACACCUCACGGCACGAGCUGACGACAACCAUGCAGCACCUUCACAUUUGCCUUACGGCUAACCUGUUUCCAGAUUAUUCAAAUGUAAUUUAAGCCCGGGUAAGGUUCCUCGCGUAUCAUCGAAUUAAACCACAUGUUCCUCCGCUUGUGCGGGCCCCCGUCAAUUCCUUUGAGUUUCACCGUUGCCGGCGUACUCCCCAGGUGGAAUACUUAACGCUUUCGCUUGGCCGCUUACCGUAUAUCGCAAACAGCGAGUAUUCAUCGUUUACUGUGUGGACUACCAGGGUAUCUAAUCCUGUUUGAUACCCACACUUUCGAGCAUCAGUGUCAGUUGCAGUCCAGUGAGCUGCCUUCGCAAUCGGAGUUCUUCGUGAUAUCUAAGCAUUUCACCGCUACACCACGAAUUCCGCCCACCUCUACUGUACUCAAGACUGCCAGUAUCAACUGCAAUUUUACGGUUGAGCCGCAAACUUUCACAACUGACUUAACAAUCCACCUACGCUCCCUUUAAACCCAAUAAAUCCGGAUAACGCUCGGAUCCUCCGUAUUACCGCGGCUGCUGGCACGGAGUUAGCCGAUCCUUAUUCAUACGGUACAUACAAAAACCCACACGUGGAUCACUUUAUUCCCGUAUAAAAGAAGUUUACAACCCAUAGGGCAGUCAUCCUUCACGCUACUUGGCUGGUUCAGACUCCCGUCCAUUGACCAAUAUUCCUCACUGCUGCCUCCCGUAGGAGUUUGGACCGUGUCUCAGUUCCAAUGUGGGGGACCUUCCUCUCAGAACCCCUAUCCAUCGAAGGUUUGGUGAGCCGUUACCUCACCAACUGCCUAAUGGAACGCAUCCCCAUCGAUAACCGAAAUUCUUUAAUAGGAUUAUCAUGCGAUAAUCCUAUGCCAUCAGGUAUUAAUCUUUCUUUCGAAAGGCUAUCCCUGAGUUAUCGGC
RNAcentral lists this ribosomal RNA (1134 nucleotides) under Bacteroides thetaiotaomicron. RNAcentral describes it as "partial 16S ribosomal RNA". The record is from RNAcentral. Lineage: Bacteria; Pseudomonadati; Bacteroidota; Bacteroidia; Bacteroidales; Bacteroidaceae.